GAGUAAGAAUGAGAACCCAGGGCAUCUUUUGGUUUAAAUUGAUGGGGUUCGUUUAAUAUUGACCUAGCCAAUUUUCUUUUGGCAAAUUUUCUUCUUCUUUUUUUGGUUAAACUAAAUUUUUUAUUUAAUUAAAUAUAUCAAUAUGUACAAACGACUCAUUGGACUCAUGAGUCAGCUCACAUUAUUUUUUAUAACUAUUCUAAUUGUUCUUUAUCUACUUAACUUCUAUAACUACUGUCAAUAACAAUGGUAAUAUAAUUAACUCUUUAAAAUCUAUAUUGAGUAUUCAGGCUAUCCAAGUGCUGCUGCCAUUUGCCAUUCUUCUGACCAUAUAUGUGUAGCUGCAAUGUAAUCUCCUUAAUCAGUUGCAUGCUUUCUCGUCUCUGAUUAAAUGGCCCAAGACAUGUUCAAUAAUCAACUAAUAGUUGAGGAGAAAGAAUCACUUGCUCACUUGGAAAAUUGGAUGGGAACUUAAGAGCAAAUACUUAAGGCAGAAGUCCAGAUCUAUAUGGAUAUCAUAUGAGAUGCCAACACCAAGUAUUUUCAUGUACAACUGAAAGCAAGACAAGCCAGAAACAUAAUAUCUUCUAUUUGCAAUGAUCAAAGAGUACUACUCACAGAGCCAGAUUUGGUACAACAACUCUUGGAAUAUCAUAAACAGUUGCUGGGAGAUGUUGAGUCACUAAUGCCCUGUAUUGAUACUACUAUUGCUAGAGAUGGUCCAUGCCUUUCAUUGAUCCAGCAGCAGGAAUUGCUAAACCAGUUACUAGAGAAGAUAUUAUCCAAGCUGUUAAAGACCUCCCAAAUGAUAAAGCCCCGGGUGUAGAUGGAUUCACAAUUGAAUUCUUUAAAGCUCAUUGGGAGACAGUAGGUGAAGAUAUAUUUAAGUCAAUACUAUAAUUUUUUAACAAUGGUAAGUUGUUAAGGGAGGUGAACUAUACCACAUUCACCUUGGUUCCUAAAGUUUUUUGUCCAUCUUAUGCUAAAGAUUUCCGACCUAUAGCAUAUUGUAGUACUGUUUAUAAGAUUGUUGAAAAAGUGCUAACUAAAAAAAUUAAACACAUGGUUGAUUACCUGGUGGGUCCAUCUCAAUCUACAUUCAUUGAAGGUCGAAACAUUCUGGAAUGUGAUUGUAGCUCACGAGUUAGUGAAGAGUUAUGGGAAAAAAGGAGAAUCCCCUAGAUGCCUAUCAAAGGUAGAUAUCCGAAAAGUAUAUGAUUCUUUGAAUUGGGAAUUCCUGAGGCAAGUGCUAAUGAAAUUUGGAUUUCCUCAAAAACUGGUCAAUUUGAUCAUGAAUUGUAUUUCUACAGUCAGCUAUUCAUUGCUUCUAAAUGGUAGUCUAACUCCUAUAUUUCAUGCAAAUAGAGGGCUGAGACAAGGGGAACCUAUGUCCCUAUAUCUAUUUGUCAUAGUUAUAUAGUACCUAAAUAGAUCCUUGAAGCAACUAAGGAAUAACCCUGAUUUUAACUAUCACCUAGAUGUGCAAAACAGCAAAUAGUUCAUAUUUUCUUUGCGGAUGAUCUACUGAUAUGUUGCAGGGUAGACAACGUCUCUAUUCUACUCAUGAUGCAAGCAUUUGAGCAUUUUUCUAGUGUUUUUGGACUGAAGGAAAAUCUGGAGAAGAGUUCAUUUUAUGUUGCAUGAGUGACACAAGAGUUCAGAACUCAAAUAAUGCAAGAUAUGCAUUUCACUAUUGGGGAGAUGCCAUUCAAAUACUUGGGUAUUUCACUAUCUUCAAGGAAGCUUUAUAUUCAUCAGUGUCUACUCUUGGUCGAAACCACUAAGUUCCUAUCAUAUAGUCGAAGAGUUCAACUCAUCAAUGGUGUACUGUUCGAGAUACAUACAUAUUGGGCCAAAGUGUUCUUAUUGCCUAAGAAGAUCUUGAUUAUGGUGACAAAUGUAUGCAGUAAUUUCUUGUGGACAGGGAGUAAUGAAUACUCAAGAAGAGCCUUAAUAGCUUGGAGCACAAUAUGUCUUCCUAAAGCAACAAGAGGAUUAAAUAUAUUGGACUUCUUUACAUGGAAUAAAGCUGAAAUCUGUAAACUAUUGUGGCUAGUGGGUAAAAAGAAGGACAAACUGUGGAUCUAAUAGAUCCACAGUAUAUACAUAAAGGGCAGGGAGCUAAACAAUAUAUCAACCCCAAGCCAAUCAGCUGGUUAGUGAGGAAGAUAUUUGAUGCAAGGAAAUGGUUGACACAAUUUGGGAAUGUGAUGGACUGCCUUGAAUCAUUUGAAGAUAGAGGGAAAUUCAGUAUCAAAAAGGCUUAUCAAUCCUUUUUACCUACUUCUGCGAAAGUUCCAUGGAAGAGUCUGGCCCUAGGGAAAGGAAUUAUCCCUAGGCACCAGUUUAUUCUAUGGCUGAUAGUUCAUAAAAAAUAUCAAUAGUGGACCGACUACAGAAAUGAGGAAUUACAGUGAUGCAAGACUUUUGUAUGUAACACAAAUGCAGUAGAGAUAUUGGACCAUCUAUUGUUUUGUUGUGAUUAUUCCUAGUAGAGUCGCGAUAUUGUUGCGCUCCCUUUCUUCUCGCGGAGUCUGGGUUUCGACAUUCAUAAGGAACAACUCAUUUCCUUUCGGAAAUUUGAUAUUUCAAUUUGAAGAGUCGUUACCUAAUGGAUUUAGGGUGUGUUAGGGGUACCUAAAGCAAGUAACUCAUGAAAUGGAUUUGCAUUACCAGAGAUUGGGUAAGGGAUCGAAAUAAUCUUGAGAGGAAGGUGUUAAGCACCCCUUGCUGUAACAACUCGGCCGAUCGUUUUUAGAAUUUACAACCUGUUCCCCUAUUAAAUGCUUCCUUAUGUUUCAUUAAUCGUAAUCGGUGCGUUAGAAUUGAAUUGGAGAGAUUUUUUAUAAGUAAUGAGACACUUAGUCUCUUUUAAGAAAUAAGUUGGAAAAAGUCAACUGAGCAUUGACUUAAGAGUUAGAGACCUCGAAAUGAAAAUCUGAUGGUUCCAUUUGCUGCGUUAGGUAAUUUCGGGGAUUGGAGCGUGUUCAGAAGGUAUUUUGGAAGUCCGUAGCUCAUUUAGGCUAGAAAUGCCAAAAGUUAGAAUUUUGGCAAUAUUUGGUUGAUAGGUGGAAUUUUGAUCCGAGGGUCAAAAUAGAGUUCUGGAUGUCUCUGUAACUUUGUUAGGUUAUUUGGGAUAUAUGCACAAAAUUUCAAGUCAUUCUGAUAUGAUUUGGUCGGGUUUUUUAUGAAAUGGGAGUUUCGGAAGUUUUUGUUGAACUUAGGCUUAAAUCCGUUGAGGAUUGGUGAUUUCUGUGUUGUUGGAUGUGUUUUAUGAUUGGAAAAAAUUCAUAUGAUAUUUUAGGAUGGGUCUGCACUUUUGGUUGAGGUCCUGAGGGCCUGGAAAUGAUUUCGGAUGGCCAACGAGAACUUUUGAAGUUGCAUAUUUCAUAAUAGAAGAAAGUUGUAAAUAAGUGCGCACAAGACCUCCCUUUGGAUGAUCAUAUAUCCCGUUAUAUACGGAGUUGUGUGAAAAACCUAUCAAAUUAAAGCCCUUUGAGUCAAAAUUCCAACGCAAUAAACCGUUCAUCGUUUGAGGUGUAUACAGAAAGUUAUGGCUAUUUGACUGGGCAUGUAUCAGUAGCACAUGAUUAGCGUUGGUGCACUAAUUGGGUUAUCUUCGGCCUCACUAGCCCGGGCGCGCUAGUAACAUGCCUCUAAAUACACCUAAGGACGGGAAAUGACAUUAUUUGAGUCAUUUCUCAAGCCUAGGGCUUCCCCAACACCUCCAAUUCGACCAAGGCACCCAAUUGCACUCCUAAGGUAAGUUUUUAAGUGUGUUUUCAUAGUGAUUUCACUUCUCAAUCACUAGUCACAACAUAAUUUUGAUUGGAUUUCAUAGGAUUUAUUAAAAAUUUCAAGAACACCCCAAAGUUGACUUUCAAGAUUUGGUCUACAAGAGGUAAUCCUACACCUAUGACUUACACACAUAGGGUUAAUAUGGGAUUAUGAGUAUGAAUCAGGGAUUACAACUUAUGAUAUGUUGAUUGGAGGCCAUAAACAUUCAAUUUAAAUAUAUGAACAUGAUAGGGAUUUAAAGGUGUUAUUUGAUGGAAUUUAGUUUGUUGGGUAUGAAUGGAUGGUCAUACAUGUGUAGUUGGAAGUUAUAAAUUGGUUAGGAAUGAUGGCGAGAUGAAUGGUUAGUAAAUGGUGAUAGUUGUAGGAACCAAUACUAUAGUUAUGAGGUGUAAAUAUCUAUACCUACAAGGUGUUUGAUAAUAUGCCUAAAUGGCAUAAGUUAUGGAAUUUAUUACCAAUAUUGACCCUAUUGAAUGUUGUAUUGUAGAUUGAAGUUAUAUAACUGUAUUGGAUCAUUGUGGUAUCAUUAAAGGGCGAAUUUCAGAUAUGUAUGGCUAACACCCCGUCUUUUGUAAAUCGAGCUUCAUCGAUAUUUGUGUGAUUUUGGUCAUUUUUACAUAAUAUCGCGAAUUAGCUUAGAAUUUAAUUGUAGAAUAAAUUAGUUGAAUUAUUUGCAAUCUAAUUGAAUAGAAUUGAGGCAUUUGGAGUCGGAUACUCGUGGAAAGAGCGUGGUUUUGGGUUGAAUUGCACUUGUUUGAGGUAAAUGGCUUGUCUAACUUUGUAUGGGGGACCUCUCCCCUUAGGAUAUCUUGAAUGUUUCUUAAAUGCCUUGUGCGCGAGGUGACGAGCGUGUACUUGUGCUCAUUGUUGAAAAUUCACCUUACUUGACUUAUUUAAAUUGCGUUUCCUUCCUUAUUUAACUGUUAUAAAUGCAAUAUCACUUAUUUCUGCUUAGGGAAAGCAUGCUAGUUAGCUUACUUAUUUUAUUUGACUAAAUGACAAUAUAUGCUCUUUGUGAAGCAUGGUAGACUAUAAUUUCUAUUAGUUGUCAUUGAUUAGAAUUUCUUUUACAUUAAUUGAAUUAUUGUGGUGUGUUUACUAUUUGGGACUACGUGACGUCACCCCGGAAGCUUCCCUUGGUGUGUUAUGUUCUAUGACUGGAUGUGUGGGAUACUAAGAGAUCCCUGACACAUGAUUGAUUGUAAAAUGAGGAUACUUCCGGAUGCUCCCUUGGUGUGUUAUGUUCUAAGACUGGAUGUGUGGGAUACUAAGAGAUCCCUGGCACAUGAUUGAUUGUAAAAUGAGGAUACUAAGAGAUUCUCGGGAUACUUGGAUAUUCCUCGUGAUUAAAUGGAGAAUACUAGGAGAUCCUCGGGAUACCAGGAUAUCCCCGAUGAUAAAUAGCCUGUAGGGAUUGUUCUUUUAUUCAUAUAUUGUAUUUGUAAUCUGUUUCUGUCUUGCUUAUUAUUUUUGUAGACACUCGAUAUACACUGUACUCAUAGGGUCUAUUCAUUUCAUAUUUAUUUUUAUGUUUAUCUCAGUAGGUCUCGACCUUUAUCAUCACUACCCAACCGAGGUUAGGCUUGGCACUCACUGAGUACCGCUGUGGUGUACUCACGCCUAUUCUGCACAUGUUUUUCAUAUGCAUAUCCAGGUAAUUCUGAGCAGGCGUACCGCCAGUAGCUGUCAGAAAGCGUAUUGGGGAGUUGAGGUAUACAUCUGCUACGUCCGGAGAUCUGCAAAGUCCCCUUCUUAUCCUAUCCAUAGUUGUUAGAUGCUAUUUCAAUCCCUCUUUGUAUUAGACUAUUCUGGUGACUAGAGUAGUGUACGAUUUCUUAUAGCCUGUGUUGCCCGUGGGUUUCCGGGUCUUGGAGGUUGUUUCGGUGUUCUGUUAUCUUUUUCGUAAAGAUUGUUAAAUUCCAUAAUGUGUUAGGCUUACCUAGUCGUGAAGACUGGGUUCCGUCAUGACAUGUUAACAAUUGGUGAACUAGGGUCUUGACAAGUUGGAAUCAGAGCUCUAGGUUCACAGGAGUCACGAAAUAUAGGCCGAUUUAUUAGAGUCUCGCUGAUCGUUACGGAGAUGUAUGUACUUAUCUACGAGGGGCUAUGUAGCUAUUUAGGAAAAGAUUCCCACUUCAUUUGAAUUCCUUAUCGUGUGAUAUUUUGGACACCUAUUCUAAAUGUUUGUUUUUCAAUUCUCUCACAGAUGGUGAGGACACGCACGACCUAGGACAAUCAGGCACCCGCACCCCCUCCUGCAGCCGCUAGAGGUAGGGGUCGAGGACGCGUGCGUGGUACAGCAAGAGCAUUUGCGCGAGCUAUAGCCGAGCUGCCACCAGUGGAUCCAGCCAGGACUCAGGCACCUGACACGCCCACAUCUACCACGACUCCAGCUGUUCUGGAGGUAUUGGCAGAGUUUAUGAGCAUACACUAUGACAGGCAGGGUUGCUUCCCCUUCUUGCAGCCACGUACCAGGCCGGGGGAGGAGCCCAAACUCCCGUAGCCCGCACUUCAGAGCAAAGGCUGCAUAUGGGACAGGUUCCAGAUAUUAUUCCCGUCUAGCCUGCGAUACUGUAUCAGCCCGAGGAUGGGGCACCUGCUUCUGAGGAUUAGCAUCGUAGAUUGGAGAGGUUCAAGAAGUAUGACCCUCCCAUUUUAGCAGACUAUCCACGGAUGAUGCUUUGGGGUUUUUGGAGGAUUGUCACUGCAUUUUUAGUACCAUGGGUACUACUGCCUCGAGCGAGGUUUCUUUUACAGCUUUCCAACUUUGGGGAGCCGCCUAUGACUGGUGGUGCACCUUUGAGUUAGACAGUCCGGAUGAGGCCGCCUCCCUGACUUGGACUCAGGUUUCAGAUAUGUUUCAGAGGGAGUUUGUUCCCCAGAGCCUCCGAGAUGCAUGGCACGUGGAGUUUGAGCACUUGCGCCAUGGCCCUAUGAGUGUCUCUGAGUAUGCCAUCCAUUAUACUAGGUUGGCCAGGCAUGCACCUGCUUUGGUGGCUAAAUUUUAUGAGAGGGUUCGUAGGUUUAUCGAGGGUCUUAUUCCUUCCAUCAGGUCUAGCAUGGCGCGAGAGUUGGAGAUGGAUAUACCCUAUCAAUAGGUGGUGAGUUUAGCCAGGAGGAUAGAGGGUGUGCAUGCUAGAUAGCGAGAGGAGAGAGAGGCCAAAAGGUCUCUCGAGUCUGGACAUUUCUCUGGUACUCGUACUUUAGGAGCAAGACUUCAUGGUAGGGGCUAUAUGGGUCGCCCAGUUCACUCAGCUCUUUCUUUUUGUGCCAGGGCCCUAUGACUGUCUCUAAGUAUGUCAUCUAUUAUACUAGGUUGGCCAGACAUGCGCUGGCUUUGGUGGCUACUGUUCAUGAGAGGGUUCGCCUAUUUAUUGAGGGUCUUAUUCCUCCCAUCAGGUCUAGGCAUGGCUUGAGAUUUGGAUAUGUCUAUACCCUAUCAGGAGGUAGUGAGCAUAUCUAGGAGCAUAGAGGGUAUGCAGGCUCGAGAGUGAGAGGAGAGAGAGGCCAAAUAGUCUCGAGAGUCGGGUUAUUACUCUGGUACCCGUACAUCAAUAGCAAGACAUCAUGGUAGGGACUAUACAGGUUGCCCGAUUCACUCAGCUCUUCUUUCAUCCAGCAAUACUCCAGUUCCCCCUAUAUAUCAUGAGCCUUAUUACGCACCUUCGAUUUCUAGUGUGCCUCAUGCGCAGGGUACUUUCAGAGGUCAGUCUAGCAGGGGUGGGCCCAGUCAGUCACAUCCACCGAGCCCUCCCAGAGCUUGUUAUGAGUGCGGGGAUACUUGCCAUGUAGUGAGGGAUUUCCCUAGGCUUGGGAGGAGUGCACCUCCACAGCAUUCUCAGCCACAUCAUAGCAGUGGGAUUCUCAAGGCAUUGUUCCAGCUCCAGCUGCCACCCCACAUGCCUAGCCAGCUAGGGGCGGAGACCAGGGAAAUAGAGGUUGCCAUCGAGGGAGGGGUCGGGCCAGAUUUUAUGCUAUUCCUGAUCGUGUCGAGGUUGCCGCCUCCGAUUAUGUUGUCACAAGUAUUAUAUUGGUUAGUCAAAGAGAGGCAUCGGUUCUAUUCGAUCCAGGCUCUUCUUAUUCUUACGUGUCAUCUUAUUUUACUCCACAUUUGGGUACAACCCAAGAGACCUUGAGCCCAACUAUUUAUGUUUCUUCUCUCGUGGGAGAUUCCCUUGUUGUGAACCGUCUAUAUUGGUCAUGUUUGGUUACUAUUCAUAGUUCUGAGAUCAUGGAAGAUAUUUUAUUACUUGAUAUGGUCGAUUUCGAUAUUAUCUUGGGCAUGAAUUGGUUGUCACCCCAGUAUGCUAUGCUUGAUUGUCACGCUAAGACUGUGAUGCUGGCUAUGCCAGGUAUUCCGCGUAUUGAGUGGAGUGUUACUUUUGAUCACACUCCCUGCAGAGUUAUAUAUUUUCUUAAAGCUCAACGUAUGGUUAAGAAGGGUGUGCUGCGUAUUUGGCUUAUGUGAGAGAUGUUAGUGUUUAUACCCCUUCUGUCAAUUCAAUCCUAGUGGUACGGGAUUAUCCCGAUGUAUUUACAGCUGAUCUUCCGGGCAUGUUACCCGAGCGGGUCAUUGAUUUUGGAAUUGAUUUAUUGUCGGGCACUCAGCCCAUUUCUACUCCUCCGUAUCGUAUGGCUCCUCCUAAAUUAAAGGAGUUGAAGGAUCAGUAACAAGAAUUACUUGAUUGUGAAGAAAAAGGAUGGUUCUAUGCGUAUGUGUAUUAUUGCCAAUUGAAUAAGGCUACAGUAAAGAACAAAUAUCCCUUGCCUCGUGUUGAUGACCUAUUUGAUCAACUUCAGGUCGCACAGAUGUUUUCUAAUUGCACUUGGGAUACUAUCAAUUGAAGAUUCGGGAGCCAGACAUCCCGAAGACUGCUUUCAGGACUCGGUAUGGUCAUUACGAGUUCCUUGUUAUGUCAUUUGGACUGACGAAUGCCCCAACAGCCUUUAUGCAUCUGAUGCACAAUAUGUUCAGGCCAUAUCUUGAUUCGUUUGUGGUUGUUUUCAUAUAUGAUAUUCUGGUAUACUUCCGAAGUGGGGAAGAUCAUGAGCAGCACCUGAGGACAGUACUUCAAACCCUAAGAGAGAAGAAUUAUAUGAAAAAUUUUAAAAAUGCAAGUUUUGGUUGUAUUUUGUGGCUUUCUUGGGUCACGUGGUGUCGAGCGAGGGUAUUCGGGUGGAUCCGAAGAAGAUAGAGGGAGUACAAAGUUUUCCUAGACCCUCCUUAGCUACAGAGAUUCUCAAUUUCCUCGCUUGGCGGGUUAUUGCCGCUGAUCGUAUCCGGGAAUGGCAGUGUGAUGACCCCCAUUUUCUUGUCCUCAAUGACAGGGUUGAGAAUGGUGAUUCCAGGGAUAUGACUAUCCGUGAGGAUGGGGUAUUAAGGAUGCAGGGUCGGGUCUUUGUACCCGAUGUUGAUGAUAUUCGGGAGUUGAUAUUUGCAGAGGCUCAUAGUUCGCGGUAUUCCAUCCAUCCGGGUGCCGCGAAGAUGUAUCAGGAUUUGAGACAACACUAUUGGUAGAGGCAAAUGAAGAAAGACAUAGUAGUAUUCGUAGCUAAAUGCCUCACCUGUCAGCAGGUAAAGGCUAAGCACCAGAGACUGGGUGGGUUACUUCAGCAGAUUGAGAUUCCAGAGUGGAAGUGGGAAAAGAUCGCCAUGGAUUUUGUAGUUGGUAUCCGUAUGAUGACAAAGAAAUUCGAUUCUAUUUGGGUCAUUGUGGAUCGGCUAACCAAGUCCUCUCAUUUCAUACCGGUGUGUACUACUUACUCAGUGGAGCGUUUAGCGGGGAUUUGCUUUAGGGAGAUUGUCCGUCUACACAGAUAACCAGUUACUAUCAUCUCGGACAGGGGUCCUCAGUUUAUAUCACGUUUCUGGAGGGCUGUUCAACAGGAGUUGGGUACUCAGGUGAAGAUGAGUACAACAUUUCACCCACAAACGACGGACAGUCCGAGCGCACCAUUCAUAUUUUUGAGGAUAUGCUCCGUGCGUGCGUGAUUGAGUUUAGAGGGUCUUGGGAUCAGCUCUUGCCAUUGGCAGAAUUUGCUUAUAAUAAUAGUUAUAAAUCUAGCAUUCAGAUGGCCCCCUAUGAGGCUCUUUAUGGUAGGAGGUGCAGAUUUCCGGUGGGUUGGUUUGAGCCGGGUAAAACGAGACUAUUGGGUACAGAUUUAGUUCAGGAUACGUUGGAAAAGGUCAAGUUGAUUCAAGAUCGACUUUGUACAUCCCAGUCCAGAGAGAAGAGAUAUGCGGACCGCAAGGUUCGUGAUGUUUCCUUUAUGGUUGGUGAGCGGGUUCUGCAUCCUGUCUCGCCUAUGAAGGGUGUUAUGAGAUUUGGGAAGAAAGGGAAGUUGAGUCCGAGGUUUAUUGGACCUUUUGAGAUAUUGAACCGUGUUGGAGAAGAUUCUUAUGAGCUUGCCCCACCUCCCAGCUUGGCGGGAGUUCAUCUGGUAUCUCAUGUUUCGAUUCUCCGGAGAUAUUACGGGGACCCGUCGCACGUGUUGGAUUUCAGCUCAGUCAAAAUGGACAUGGAUCUGUCCUAUGUUGAGGAAACAGUGACAAUAUUGGACAGCCAUGUCCGAAAGCUCAGGUCAAAGGAAAUAGCUUAUGUAAUGGUUCAAUGGCAGGGUCAACCGGUCGAGGAGGUGAAUUGGGAGACCUAACGGGAUACGCGCAACCGAUAUCCUCAUCUUUUCAGAACUCCAGGUAUGUUCUUUAUGCUCGUUCGAGGAUGAACGAAUGUUUAUGUGUUGGAGAAUGUAACGACCUGGCUGGUCGUACGUCUUGUUCCCCUAUUAACUGCUUCCUUGUGUUUCAUUAACGGUAUUGGGUGCAUUAGAAUUGAAUUGGAGUGAUUUUUGAUAAGUAAUGCGACACUUAUUCUCUUUUAAGAAGGCUUAAGUUGGAAAACACCAACUAAGCGUUGACUUAUGAGUUAGAGACCUCGGAAUGGAAAUAUGAUGGUUCCAUUAGCUCCGUUAGGUGAUUUCGGGGUUGGGAGCGUGUUCGGAAGGUUUUUUGGAAGUCUGUUGAUCAUUUAGGCUAGAAAUGCCGAAAGCUAGAAUUUUGGCGAUUUUCGGUUGAUAGGUGACAUUUUGAUCAGAGGAUCGGAACGGAGUUCUGGAAGUUUUUGCAGCUUUGUUAGGUGAUUUGGAAAAUGGGCGUAAAAUUUCAAGUCAUUCGGACGUGUUUAGGUCGGUUUUUUGAUGAAAUGCGAGUUUCGGAAGUUUUGGUUGAACCUAGGCUUGCAUCCGUUGAGGAUUGGUUAUUUUUGUGUUGUUGGAUGCAUUUUAUGGUUGGAACAAGUUCAUAAAAUGUUUUAAGAUGGUUUUUCACUUUUUGUUAAGGUCUCGGGGGCCUCAAAAUGAUUUCGGAUGGGUAACGGGAACUUUUGAAGUUGGAAAUUUCAUAAUAGAAGAAAGUUGCAAAUGAGUGCGCACAAGACCUCACGUUGGAUGAUCAUAUAUAUCCCUUUAUUCAUGGAGUUGUGUGAGAUAAACCCUAUCAAAUAAAAGCCCUUUGAGUCUAAAUUCCAACGCAAUAAACCGUUCAUCAUUUAGAGGUGCAUACAGAAAGUUAUGACUAUUUUACUGGGCAUGUGUCGGUAGCACGGGAUUAGCGCGGGCGCGCUAGUAACAUGCCUCUAAAUACACCUAAGUACGGGAAAUGACAUUAUUUGAGUCAUUUCUCAAGCCUAGGGCUUCCCUAACACCCCCAAUUCGACCAAGGCACCCAAUUGCACUCCUAAUGUAAAUUUUUAAGUGUGUUUUCAUGGUGAUUUCACUUCUCAAUCACUAGUUACAACAUGAUUUAAUUUGAUUUCAUAGGAUUUCUUCAAAAUCUCAAGAACAUCCCAAAGUUAACUUUCAAGAUUUUGUCUACAAGAGGUAAUCCUACACCUUAGACUUACACAUAUGGGAUUAAUAUGGAAUUAUGAGUAUGAAUCAGGUAUUACAACUUAUGAUAUGUUGAUUGGAGGCCAUAUAUUUCCAACAAUAUACAUGAACACGGUAGGGAUUUCAAAGUGUUUAUUUGAUGGAAUUUUGUUGGUUGGGUAUGAAUGGAUGGCCAUACAUGCGUAGUUGGAAGUUAUAAAAUUGGUUAGGAAUGAUGGUGAGAUGAAUGGUUGGUAAAUGGUGAUAGUUGGAGGAACCAAUACCAUAGUUAUGAGGUGUAAAUAUCCAUAGCUACAAGGUGUUUGAUAAUAUGCCUAAAUGGCAUAAGUUAUGGAAUUUAUUACCAAUAUUGGCCCUAUUGAAUAUUGUAUUGUAGAUUGAAGUUACAUAACUAUAUUGGAUCAUUGUAGUAUCAUUAAAUGGCGAAUUUCAUAUAUGUAUGGCUAACACCCUGUCUUUUGGAAAUUGAGCUUCGUUGAUAUUCGUGUGAUUUUGUUCAUUUUUACAUAAUAUCACGUAUUAGCUUAGAAUUUAAUUGUAGAAUAAAUUAGUUGAAUUAUUAUUUACAAUAUGCAAUCAAAUUGAAUAGAAUUGGAGUCGGAUACUCGUGGCAAGAGCGUGGUUUUGGGUUGACUUGCACUUGUUUGAGGUAAAUGGCUUGUCUAACUUUGUAUGGGGGACCUCUCCCCUUAGGAUAUCUUGAAUGUUUCUUAAAUGCCUUGUGCGCGAGGUGACGAGCGUGUACUUGUGCUCAUUGUUGAAAAUUCACCUUACUUGACUUAUUUAAACUGCGUUUCCUUCCUUAUUUAACUGUUAUAAAUGCAGUGCUCAUUGUUGAAAAUUCACCUUUCUUGACUUAUUUAAACUGCGUUUCCUUCCUUAUUUAACUGUUAUAAAUGCAAUAUCACUUAUUUCUGCUUAGGGAAAGCAUGCUAGUUAGCUUACUUAUUUUAUUUGACUAAAUUACAAUAUCUGCUCUUUGUGAAGCAUGGUAGACUAUAAUUUCUAUUAGUUGUCAUUGAUUAGAAUUUCUUUUACAUUAAUUGAAUUAUUGUGGUGUGUUUACUAUUUGGGACUACGUGACGUCACCCCGGAAGCUUCCCUUGGUGUGUUAUGUUCUAUGACUGGAUGUGUGGGAUACUAAGAGAUCCCUGACACAUGAUUGAUUGUAAAAUGAGGAUACUAAGAGAUUCUCGGGAUACUUGGAUAUCCCUCGUGAUUAAAUGGAGAAUACUAGGAGAUCCUCGGGAUACCAGGAGAUCCCCGAUGAUAAAUAGCCUGUAGGGAUUGUUCUUUUAUUCAUAUAUUUUACUUGUAAUCUGUUUCCGUCUUACUUAUUAUUUUUCUAGACACUCGAUAUACACUGUACUCAUACGUUCUAUUCAUUUCAUAUUUAUUUUUAUGUUUAUCUCAAUAGGGCCUCGACCUUCCUCGUCACUACCCAACCGAGGUUAGGCUUGGCACUUACUAAGUAGCGUUGUGGUGUACUCAUACCUCUUCUGCGCAUGUUUUUCAUGUGCAGAUCUAGGUACUUCUGAGCAGGCGUACUGCAAGUAGCUGUCAGAAAGCAUAUUGGGGACUUGAGGUAUACAUCUGCUACGUCCGCAGAUCCGCAAAGUCUCCUUCUUAUCCCAUCCAUAAUUAUUAGAUGUUAUUUCGAUCCAUCUUUGUGUUAGAUUAUUCUGGUGACUAGAGCAUUGUAAGAUUUCUUAUAGCCAGUGUUUCCCGUGGGUUUCCGGGUCUUGGAGGUUGUUUCAGUAUUUUGUAUUAAAGUGUAUGUGCCAGGCGGCAAACCUAUACAUUUUCUUAUGUAUUUCGGUAUUCUGAUAUCGUUUUCGUAAAUAUUGUAAAAAUCCCGUAAUGUAUUAGGCUUACCUAGUUUUGAAGACUGGGUGCCGUCAUGACAUGUUUAAAAUUGGUGAACUAGGAUCGUGACACUCGCGGUCCAUAACGGUGGGUCCCAGCCGAACUCAAAUUAUGUGAAUUAGUUCUAUAAAUAGAUAAAGCUAUCUAAGCACACAUAUAAGAUAAAGGAAAUUUAGCAGAUAAGCAGUCUAAAGACACAUAUGAAAAUAAGAUGAGGGAAGUCCUAGGUUUGUUAGCCUAUAGGAUCACAUCUGUAUAAUACCCGAUAAUCCUUCCUGAACUAGAGAGGCUACAUGUGGUAUUAGCGCACAGGUCAUCAAUAUCCUUUUACUCCCCAAUUUCCCUCCCCUUAGUGUUUAUAUAAGCAGUUUUAAUUAGACAAACUCUAUGCGUGCAUUACCUGUCCCUUCCUUGUGGUCUGGUAGGUAUUUAGGACCUCUAAUUCAGGCAAUUCUAGACUCUCCUAAUGUACUUAAAUGAGAAAAAUCUAGGCGACAAUCAAAAUAAUUAGGACUAUCAAGUAAAGAACUAUUAAGGGGCUCAUGUUUACCUCCACAAAUAAACAAACAACAGCACGUCUCAAACAAUAAGAUUUCAGUCAUUUCCAAAGCUCCUAGAGUAGGAUAUCUAGGUGAGCAAAUAGAAUGUAUGAAGCAUCGUGUUAAACUGAGGUGAUAGAGACCUAAUCAGUUUGCCUACUGAUUUUAAAGCUUGUUGAAUCUGGGCCAUUCACAAACGACAAAAGCGUAGUUUUACAGUUUGCAGGAUUUUAGUCGCCUUACAGGCUUGCCUAGGCAUGUAACAGUGAUAUCCUAUAAGCACAGUAUCUAUUCAUUAAUUAAGUAGGCAGUUUGGAUCCUAUAUGCAUGUUGGUAUAUGUGCUGAAUAAUACAUUAUAGAACUGGUUUAUACACACUUAUCUCUAUGACAUAAGUAUUGGGAUUGUUUUUAAACAUUUUUAUAGACAAGAUAGAUAUUGAUUUUGGCAAUGUAGAUAUGGAUUAAGACGAAUACAAAUACAGUCCUUGUCACACCUCCUUUUUCACCUACACCCCCAAGGACGCAAAAGGGAGUUUUCCAUUUAAAUGACAAUCGGAACGGGAUUUAGUUAUUAAUUAUUCAAAGUUGGCACUUGGAAGAUUAAUGGUAUCCCAAGUCACCAGUUGAAUCCCGAACCGAGGAAAAAUAUGACUCUGUUAUAGUCAGCGAACCAAAAAUUUGAGUAAGGAAUUCUGUCAACCUGGGAGAAGGUGUUAGGCAUUCCCGGGUUCCGUGGUUCUAGCAUGGUCACUUAACUGUUGCAUUUGAUUUUAUCUGAUUUUAGUAUAUGCUAGCUUAUGUGCCUUUUAUUCGUAAAUCACUUUUUAUCAUUGUUUAUUUUAAACAAAUUUCGAUGUUGUGAAAACAUUUUUCGAACCACGUCGCAAUCAAUGCACCCGUGGUGGUCAACACAUUUCGACUUCGUCGAGAUUUGGAUUUGGGUCGCAUCAAUGCGCACCCGAGUUUAAGGAAGUAGUUUAAUUAAAUCGCGCCUAAAGAUUCUAACGUAAUAAUAUAAUAUUAUUUUGGGGGAAGGCCGUGAAGCUCGCUAAAUGGCUCUCCAAAUUUUAAUCAUUUUUAAUAACCAUUUAUUGAGGGCCCCACAUUUGUUUACUUUGUUCGGUGAGGCUCAUCUUAUUUUAUGAACCUUUUUUCGAUCAUUAUUUAUUUUAUAAGAAUUACGACGUCGUGAAAACGCGUUUUGAACCACGUCGCAAUCAAUGCACCCGUGAUUGUCAACACAUGUCAACUUUGUCGAGAUUUUGAUUUGGGUGGCAUCAAUCCACACCCGAGUUUAAGAAAGUAACUCUAUUAGAAUUGCAUCUAAAAGAGUCUAAUGCGUUAUUAUCUUUUGGGAGGGUCGUGAAAUUCGCUAAGCGACCCUUCCCUAAUUUUCUAAAUAUUUCAAGCCUUUAUUCAGGGCCCUUCGUUUUGUAUUUUUUUUUGGGAGAGCUCGUCUCAUUUAAUUUUAAAGAUCCACUCUAAAGUAAACUAUGAUUUUUCUAAAUUAUUUGUCUCUAGUAAAAAUCCUAAUUAAUCAAUAUUGUUUAAGAGUUACUUUAUUCGGGUCUAUGGACACAUAAAUUCAAAUCCUUAAUCACGACCCAUAUGAGGAGUCAAUACCCCAGUAACGCGAAAGGGGAAGCUAAACACCAUCAUAGGCUUAGAUCUACUCCACAUUUAAAAUAUUUUGAAACUCUUAACAGGCCAUCACCCACCCUAAAACCACUUAUCAAGCCCAAACUCACUUGAAAUCAACCAAACAUCACCUCUAGAACUUCAAAAUUAGCAGAAACUAAACUAGAGAGAUGUAGAUUAAUAGCUAAAGCUGAGAUCCAUCUAGCAUUUGAUGAAACAAUAACUUUUUUUUUGGGGUUUCUACUAUUUUUUGUUGUUUUUGGGUUUUUGUUUUUAAAACUAUGAACUAGAAGGAGAUUGUGAUAUGAGAUUUUAAAUUUUCAGAUUUGGAAACCCGAAGAAUAUUUUUUGGGGGAAUUUGAGGGCUCCAAAACUUCUUUUUCAAGGUAGAGGUGACUGCCUUAUAUUGGUCAACUAAUGGGCAGCCCUCAGGUUUUUAUUUUCAUUCCAGUCCUUACUUAGUUUUCAACUUACAUCCCUCAUUUCUAAUGAAAUACACCCUCACAACCUAGAAGCUUCUAGGAAAUUCUUAGCUAGAUUUGUUUUCCCAAAUUAUCCCAAUUGCCCUUAAUUUAUCCCAAAAUUACUAAAAUAGAACAGUUAUAUCUAAAAGAGUCCUAGGGUCUGAACUUUCAAUUAUGAAAUAUAAUCCUAUCUACUGGGGCCAAUUAAUAGAAACAAUCAUCAACUAAAUACAGACUUAACCAAAUAACAUUCAAACAUAAAUUUAAUUAACAGAAUUACAACUAAAAUUAAGAAUUAUGAUUCGAACAACCAAAUUGAAAUAAACCUAAUGAAUAACUAAUUACUCAACUAGACUAACAUGAAUAAAAAACACUUGAAAAUUCACUGACUCACAUUUUAAACGACUUAACAAACUAAAAAAAUCAGGACUCAAAUAAAACGACUAAGCAAGAAGACUAUCGAGCAAAACUAGUAAAGAAAUACAAAAUAAAAGAAAAGUAAAAACUUACCGAUAAAAGAAAACUCAGGCUAGUCGUCAUUAUUUCCAAACUCGGCCAUUGCUGGGGUCAUUUGAGCUCUAUUGAUGGCCAAGUCUUUACUAGGGAGGCCCAAGGACCCUAUGACGUCAAGUGCAUGCGUUUUGGGCGUUUUAGGGUUUUUGUCGAAAAACCAAAAAUUGACAUUUGAGCAUUUCUGGCCACAUUCGAGGGACGAGGCUAAGGGGGUUGGGUAGAGGGGUCUCAGGCGAACCUAGGGUGUUAAUUUGGGGUAGGUUUCAUCGUGCCCGUAAAAUUUUCAAUCGAUUAUUCGACGAGAUGGGGGAAUAUUCGAGGGAUGACAACACCGGGAACGGGAAGGGGAGGGCAAGGUGAAUCAAUGGUAUUAAUUUGGUUGUCAAUAACGUAGGUUUUAUUCACCGGCGGCGAGGAAUCUGGCGAGGUCUAAGAGAUACGAGGAAGAAGAACGGUUGUCUCUGAUUUUGUGAAGAGACUCCCACCAUUUUAUUAGGUGGACAAGAUUUAUCUUCAACUGUUGGAUCAGGAAAAAUUAAAGGCUGAGACUGACAGGGGAAAAACAACGUCGUUUUGAGAGUGGGGUCUUGGACCGGGUAAUGGGGUGAUUUGUGCCUGGGUCCGAAUAGGUUUUCUUGUUUUGGGCUCAACCAAUUUGCCUAAUAUUUGGGUCUCAGCCCUUUUUUCUAUUUAUUCCUUUUUGUUUCUUUUCCAUUCUUUUAUUUACUUGUUUUUCUCUCUUUAUUUUUCUUUUUCCUCAUUUUGUAAUUUUUAUAUUUUUGUUAAAAACAAAUAAAACUCAUAGCCCAAAUUAACACCAAAAUUACUAACUAUUAUUCCAAAAUUAACUAAUUUCUCUUUUUAAGCUAAAAUUUUAAAAAAAUUCCACAAAAUAAAAAUAAAGUUGUACAAAGUUAUUUUUUUCAUUUCCUUCAUAUGAGAACAAUGUUAAACUAACAAUUAACUCUAAAAAUAUGAAAUUAACUCCUACACAAAUUCCACAUAUAUUUUGUAUUUUUUGUAUGAAUGCAAAUGCACAAAUAAAAUGCAAUAAUUACAAGAAAAUGACACAAAAUUCAAAAAAUUGUAAAAAUAAGGAAAACUCUUUUUGUUUGAAUUUUUGGGAAUAAUUCAUAUAUAGGAAAAAAAUCACAUGAUCAUAGAUGCCACUCUUUUCUCGAAAACAUGAAGAGUUUUUGUUCAAAGUCAUGUGAGCAAAUAGGAGCGAUUUUUGCCUGUUCAAAUAUUCCGUUGUGAAGCAUUUUGAAAAAUUUGGCGCCACCCUGCUUCAUAGGUUGCCUACAUAUCCUGGGCUAAACAGGAAUCAGGUCAGUGUAAUUCGGGAGUGUCUGGUAGCUGGGACUACCAGGAGCUGUGAUUUCACUGCGUUUGCUGCUUCUACUACUUGCUGACCUUCUUUAUUACACCGUAUCAAAAAUAAAUGAAGCUAGCCUAAGCUAUGAACUACGAAUAACAAAAAUCCUAUCUAAAUUCUUCAAACUUGUUCUUGUACUUCCUUGUUGCCUAGUUGUCUUGUAUUUCCUUGUUGCCUCAUUGUCUUGUGUUUUCUCGGUAAAAUCCCUUGUUGUUACUUCAACUUGCUAACUAUGAUGUUGUUCCUUCUCCCCAAAUUACUGAACUUGAAUAAACUUGAACUUGAAUGUAUUACUCUGUUAUCCAGGUGGGCUCCUGACUCCAAAAAGACGAAACAAAGAAAACUUUCUGCCCCAGUUUGUAAAACUGGAUGCUUGUUACUAGAUAUUAUCAAAAAUUGAAAACUAAAACUUGAACACUUGCUGCUGGUACUGCUUGCUGACCUCCCUUAUUACACCAAGUCAAAGAUAAAAAGAAGCUAAACUAGCUACGUUCUAUGAAUUACAAAAGUCCUAUCUAGAUUCUUCAAACUUGCUCUUCUACUUCCUUGUUGCCUUGUUGUCUUGUGUUUUCUUGUUGCCUCAGUGUCUUGUUUUUUCUCGGUAAAAUCCCUUGUUGUUACUUCAACUGAUCAACUGAGAUGUUGUUCCUUCUAUCCAAAUUGCUGAACUUGAAUAAACUUGAACUUGAAUUUAUUCCUUUGUUCUUCAGGCGGGCUCCUGACUUCUGAAUUUUGAAUUUGAAUGUAUUCUUCUAUUAUCCAGACGGGCUCCUGACUUCACAAAAACAUAUAAAACAAAGAAAACUUUCUGCCCCAGUUUGAAAAACUGGGUGCUUGUUACCACAUACUAAUAAGAACUAAAGCUUGAAUUGUGAUAAGACUGAAAUCCAACUUUAAAAAUUUAAAGACUGAAAUGUAUCUUAAAAUUUAAAAUUUAUCUUAGGUGAAAAAUUCAUCAGACUAAGAUUUUCAUCUUAGGUGAAAGAUUCAACAGACUAAGAUUCUUAUCUUUUAUCAUAGGUAAAAAAUUAACUAGCCUAAGAUUUUCAUCUUAGGUGAAAGAUUCAACAAACUAAGAUUCUUAUCAUUUAUCUUAGGUGAAAAUUCAUCAGACUAAGAUUUUCAUCUUAGGUAAAAUAUUCAACAGACCAAGAUUUUGACUCUAGGAGAUAACUCACCAGACUAGGUCCAUUUUCGUGUGAUCUCAGGAGGAAGAUUCAUCGGGCUCAGAUUUUGACUCUAGGAGAUAAUUCAUUAGACUAGGUCCAUUUUUCGAAUCCAGACUUUCUUAAUCUUUCAAAUUCGAACAUUCAUUCCAUUCUUUUUUAAAUUUGCCUUCCUUUCUUUUUCCCAAAUUAUGCCCUUCUUUCUUUUUCCCCAAAUUAUGCCUUUCUUUAUUUUCCCAAAUUAUGCCUUCCUUUCUUUUCCCAAAUUAUGCCUUCCUUUUUUUUCCAACUUCUGCCUUUAUCUUAGGUGAAAGAUUCAACAGACUAAGAUUUCUUUAUCUUAGGUGAAAAAUUUAACAGACUAAGAUUUUUAUCUUAGGUGAAAGAUUCAACAGACUAAGAUUUUUAUCUUAAGUGAAAAAUUCAACAUACUAAGAUUCUUCUUCUUAGGUGAAAAAUUCAUCAGACUAAGAUUUUUAUUGUAACCAUUUUCCUCCGAAACUUGUUUUACCUACCUUCUAACUUGAAUUAUCUUCCUUCAGAAUUGCUUCCCCAAAAAUUGGUGUUGUCCUCCUUAAAAAAACCAUUUCCCAAAAAACUAGUGUUUUAUUCCUCCAAAAAUUAUUUUCUUAAAACUGGUGUUUCUUUCCUGAAAACUACUUCCUUAUCUUUUUUCUCUUUUUUUUUAAAAACAAUUAUAUUGACCUUUAUGUUCUUCAUAUGUGUACCCGAAUUCAAGAAAAUUUUCAACACGACAGAGAAUUUUCUGCCCCAGUUUGAUAAUCCUCAUGUAGCAUAUUUUUUCGCCAUCAAUGAUAUUUCCGUGCCCCUAUUUCAAAUCGGAGAAAAUUCUGCCAGUUUAAAGUGCGGUGAUUGGUUGUGGUACUUCUGCCGGGAUGGCUUUCCUUUUCUCCUUUCUAUGCUCCGUGUUAUCCGACCAUCUUUGAAAACUUGGCUGAUAACUUCCUCCCUUCUUGACAAAUACCUCUCAAUUAUUACUUCUAGUCUUCUUCUCCGACCCCAUAUGUUUUAUAUGACAACUGAUUCUUCUUGAAGAUCUUGCAUGUUUACUAAUUAACCACUUCCCCCGUCAUCUGUGUCACGGAAAUACCCUUUUUCCCCGUUCAGGUCCAAUAUCUUUUUUUGGGUCGUUGCUCGUGAACUAGCAUAUUCCUGACCUUUGAGGCUUACAUAAAUUUCCAAAUUACGUCCAUUGCCCCCACAAUAUGUUGUUGCUUCUUAAAUCACAACCCUUAGCCCCUUGACCCUGAAGUCUAUUGCUCAUUCGCUUGACCCUUGUCACAGAAAAUAUCUAUUCUUCGUUCAAACCUAAUACCCUCCAUCUGUUGCAUUACUCCCGAACCGGCAUCUACCAAACUUUGUGUUUCACCAGGAUCCCAAAGCAUGUUCAUUAUUACCAGCUCAAUGAUCUUGUUGUUGUUCUUUCCUUGUGACACUUUGAUAUUCUAUCUAAACCCCAUUUUUGCAUUCGGAAAGCUGGUGGUAAAUUUUGAAGUCAUUUCUCAAUUGUUAUAACCGACAGACUCAGAAAGAAGAAGUGAACAAACAGAAGAACAAAGUGAAGGACAAAGUAAAGAGAUAAUUUCUAAAGAAGACACUACGAAGUAGAAACCUAUCAAAUGUGGAUACCAACUCUAACGACCAUGACAUGCACAUGUAGAUAUUCUGCCAAUCAAACCUGAUGUUCAGCUCUUGUUGUACCUUUUCACCGUGAAACUGGGCUUCGGUGCUCCUCUUGUCCAAUCUGAUUUACAUUCCUUAUUCGGCUUGUAGUACCCGAAGGGUUUUCACCAUCAAGCCUCUCUCUUUUUUCUUUCUUCCCACUUACUUUCGCCUUAAGGUGCCUGUGAAGGUUUUUACCAAUAAGACUCUCUCAUUUUUAUUUUGCUCAACUUCCAUCGCCUUGCGGUACCCGUGAAGGUUUUCAUCAAUCCGGCUUUCUAUUUUUCUUUCUUGGACUGGAGUGUUGCCCCUGACAUAAAUUAUCCUUACCUGCUUGGCUUGACAUUUCUCAAAGACUGAUCGGAAGGUCUUUCUUUGGACCGUGAUGUGUCUUUUGGAAGGGGUUAGAAAAGAAAGGUAUAAAAGGCUCAAAACAAUUCAAAUUGGGUUAACACUACAACUUUCGGAAUACGAUUUCUUUCAACAAUCACAACUUCUGCCCCAGUUUCUUUCUUGGGGACUUUUGGAAUUUUUAUUUUGGUAUGAGUGAACCUGAGAGAGGCUUCCUACGUACCCUUUCGGGAUCUAGUCAAACGUAGUUCAUGUCAUUGAAACUACGUUCUUGUGAUUUUCUUUCUCUUCUUUUCUUUCUGUUUUUCUUGCUUUUUCCUUUCUUUUCUUCAUUUUACAUUUCUUUCUCUUUCUUUUCUUUUCUUUACUUUUUUUCCCUUUCCAUUUCUUUCUUUCUUUCUCAUUUUCUCUUCUUCUUUUUUCUUCUUCUUUUUCCUUCCCUUCUUUUUCUUUUUCCUUCUUUUUUAUUUGCUUAUCUCCGGCACUUGCAUUUCUUUGAUUGUGCCGUUGAUUCCAAAAGAGGGGUAUGAAUGAAAAAAAAUAAGGCUCAAAGAGGGUGGCAAAAGGGUAAAGUAUUUAGAUAGCACAACAAAACGCCACCGUCAUUUCAAACUUCAAAAUAUGCCAAAUGCAAACAAGUACAUCAGAAUAAAGAAACCAUACACUUCACUUCUUGACCGAUCAGAAUUGACGGCCAUUUCCACAUAUUUUCCUUCUACAUAUGUAAGAUAUAUUGUGCCGUUGGGCAACACUCUUACUCUUAUUACCACGACCGACCCGCUGUCAAUUUGUCCAACUUGUUCUUUUUUACCCAGUUUCACAUGGUUCGAGCGUCAAACAAUCUCAAACAUCCAAAUAUGUUCUCAUUUCCCAAGUGCCCCAAUCGUUUUCAAAAUGGUUUUGUUGCUUCCUGACUAACAUAGCUUUUGAAGAUUCGACUGAGAAUUAUACGUGCAAGUCAUGUCACUAGAAUCAGCAUUAGACAAAAGAAAAAACAAAAGGAUCGAAAAGAACUAAACAAAGAAAAAUGAUUGGAAGUAACAAAAGAUCGGAAUUUGCAUUAGACAAUGAUGAAAUAACUCGAAUAACAAAACAAGCAAACAAACUGGAGUACAACCCUGGAACGAACCUGAAACACACAUGGACAACCCUAAACGAACCACUACGACUAAACAAGCUAGACAAAAAUGAAAGGAUAAGAGGGUUUGAUCAUAAGACAAUGAAAUAACUCGAAAAACAAAAUAAGCAAACAAAAUGGAGUACAACCCUAGAAUGAACCUGAAACAAGCAUGGACAACACUAAACGAACCACGACGACUAAACAAGCUAUAAAAAAUGAAAGGAUAAGAGGGUUUGAUCACAAGACGAUAUUCGGAUUACAACCCUGCAAAUAACUCGGACAAUAGAAAUGACAGCAAAACGGACCACCAAAGCUCCUCCCCAGCUGACUCAGGAAAGAGCGUCUUCUCAAUUACCAUGCACGGUGUCUUAGCCACUGAAUUUUGCGUCAACAAUACUAAGAACUUCAAAUGACUUUUCCAGGUAAAUCAUAUCUGCCAUGUGCGUCUCAUUUUGUACAGGCGAUGAACUUUGGCUGGUGUCAACUGCAUCAAGAUUUGGCACGACAAUAUCGCAUGCAUCAAUAAACUCCCGAAUUACUUUCUUCAGCCUCCAACACUUUUUUGUGUCAUGCCCCGGGGCAUUUGAGCAAUAUGCACACCUUUGGGUAAAAUCCAACUCCUUUAAAAGAUGGUUUGGUAUUUUAAUCUGAAUAGGAUUCAUCACGCCAGAAGUCCUUAGCCUCUAAAACAGAUUGGCGUAUGACUCUCCCAAGGGAGUGUAGGCUUUCUUUUUCCGCAACCUCUCAUUCUUAAAUGCCUGAUUUGGUUGGAAACCUAAUCUAAGGACGUUGCGUUGGGGAGGGUCACCUGGUGCACAAGAAUACCAGUGGGGCUUAGCAAGAACAGUCACUGGACUCUGUCGACGGUGGAAAGAAUGACCUGGUGGUUGGACAUAUGGUCGGAUGUUGUUUGGAAGAUAGUACUGAGGUGGCUUAUAUGUAGUUUGGGGACGUUCACGGGGUCGGUAUUGAGGCUAAAAGCAUUUACAAAAAAUGACCACCAGGCCCUGUCAUUGGCAGAGGGAGUGACCUAGUGUUUGGAUACCUGACCGGCCAUUGUCUGGAGGAUAAUGCUGAGGUAGUUUAUGUGAGGCUCGGGGACAAGUUUGGGAUUGGAGUUGAGGAUGAAGACGCUUGGCAGGAACGACCACUGGGAUCUGUCAUUGGCGUGGAUCAACAAUAUCUUUUUCAUCAGUGGAAGGAGUAUCCUUAGCAACUUUUUCGUUCCAUCUGACCCAAAUUUCCCUAAAACUUUCCUUGGGUUUCGUUUCCGUCUGAUAUGGGGAGGAGUGAUUUGGGAAAAUGUCUCUGUUGUACUGAAAAUUUCGCACAAAAUCUUGAGCCAUGUCCCCAACGUGUGCCACUUCCCAACAUCUUGACGUUCAUGCCAUUCCAUGGCUGCCCCAGUCAGGCUCUCACUGAAAUGCGACAUCAACAACUCAUCUUCCUUGCCUACAUUCAUCGUUUGAUUGCAAUAAUCCCUCAAGUGGGCUACUGGAUCUCCCCGUCCAUCAUACAAAUUAAACUUCGGCAUCUUAAACCCUUCCAAAUUUCGGGAUAUCUCAUCCCGCUCCAAUAUUUUAGCAAGCUUCGUAGUCUCACUGGAAGACUCAAAAUGAAGAGCGUGAUGGUAUGGACUCGAUACCUUGGCGAUUGGUUCUGGUGCAUAAUAUUGGCAUCGGGGACUGAUGGCGGAGGAUACCCACUGGUCCAAGCUUUGUGCAUUCCGACUAUCUGUCUUUUCAAGUUCAAAACCUCUUCUUUCAACUCACAUUCUGAUUCAACAAUGCCCCUAGACGGAUCAAUUAUACUUGUGUUCAACCCUUUGCCAUCCAUGACUGCCUUGCUUUUCGACCUUGUAUUGUAUGGAUGAGGUACCCAAACCAACCACCUCAACUUUCUUCACAAUUCUAAACAAAAUAUGUUAGAAUGGAGUCGGUCCUCAUUAUUAACAUCUUUUCCAUUUUUUCAAUUUCUUUUCCAUUUUUCAUUCUUUUUUUGGUUGUGGUCAAAUAUUAUGGAGAUUGCGUACGUAUCAUGACCCCGCAUGAAUCAGACCGUGCAUUGUUUGUACAGAUAAAAGGUAAACAACAAUAAAAUAUUUUUGGAAUUUUCCAUUUUCAUAAUAACAACAAAACUGACUAACUUAACGAUGAAAUACAGACUUGAAAAUCAAACGACCCAUAUACUCAAAUAAAAAGAAAUACAAAUCCAAAAACAAAAUGACAUAUUCUUUCCCCUAUAUACCAAUUUUGACCCAAAAUCCGAGCGAUAUUCACUUGACCACUGACUCUUUUUUUUAAAUUAAAAUAAAUGACCCGGUAUUGCAAACAUGGCCUUCCAGUGCCUCGGGGACGAAGAUUAAGGUUGAGAGGGUGAAAAAUCAAAAUAUGACCAAAUGUGGCUAUUUAUACAAAGUCAGCCUUCUGGCGCCCCUUUUGGGACAUUUGGCUAUUUUUGACAAAAACGACAUCACUUGGUUCAUUUAUGACAAAAAUUAAAAUUUUGACAUUUUUUGGGCUAUUUUUGUAAAGGGGAGGUUGGACCCGAUGAGGGUUGCCUACGUAUCUCACAUACGGUGAGAAUCAAACAUGUGUAGUUCGGGCAAAUUAAACGAACUAUUUUAAAACAAGACUCUUUUUCAUUUUCAUUUUUGGCAUUUCAUAAGCAAAUAACAAAAUAACCUUCAAAAGCACGACUCUUUACAUUUUUAUUUUUGGCAUUUCAUAAACAAAUAAAAUAAUAAAAAAUUAUUUUAUUUGUUUUUGUUUUAUAAAAAACAACUCUUUUUUAUUUUCAUUUUUCAUGACAAGACAAACUAUUUUCCUUUUUUAUUUUUUGAAAACAAGACAAAAUGACGAAUCUUUUUUUUUCCCUUUUUUUCAUUUUCUACAAAAAAUUAAACAACCUAUUUUUUCCAAACUAAAAACAAAUACUAUUUUUCUUUUCAAUAAACAAUAAAUCAACCUAUUUUUUCCAAACUAAAAUAAAGACUCUUUUUUAUUUUCUUUUUCAACAAACAACUUUCCAAAAAUAAAAGACUCUUUUUCAUGUUUUCUUUUUUUUAUUUUCUCAAAAUUUCGGCAGAGUUUCGUCAGUUCUUGGUCAUUGGUUUUUCUAAAAUAAUCAAUUAACUCCCUAAGUGUUAUUUCUCUCUUUUUCUCUUUUCUCUUUUCUCUUUUUUUCCCUCAAAUUUUCAACAUUCCCGAGAUUCAGAAACCGAUACACAUGCAGGUUUGAAACAAAUAUAUGUACAUAGAAAGUAGGAUGCAUCAGGAUGGUCUUUUUCAUUUCAGGUUGCUAGCCCUAGAAGGACCCAACUCUUGUGUUGAGUCCCCUAAGUCAAAUGCAGCAUGAUGCAAAUAAGUGCUCCUACUAGAGAUCCGGAAUGAAGUCAUGUUAUUCUAGGUUCAAAACCUGGGUCAGUGUUCUAGAAUGUGUACCCGAGCAGACAACUUGAGUUGAGGAGGGGGAAACUUUCUGGGAACCAAAAGGCCAUCUGACUUAGUAACUUGUCCGAGCCUCUUUCUUAUUUUAGGGUAUGACACUAAUAGAAUAUGGAGUCUCAACCAGUAAGCACAUCCCCGGAGGUAUAGAGAGAAGGGUGUCGGCAUAAUUUAUAUACAGUUCAGAUAAUAUCAAAGCGGUAACAUUUAGCACAUUCAACACAAAACAUGUAGGAAAAUCUGAUAUAACCAGAUACAACAAUUUAUCUAAGAUCGAAUUCUGAAGCCUGAACAAAACGUUCUAGGUUCUUCUCCCCAGCAGAGUCGCCAGAGCUGUCACACCUCCUUUUUCACCAACACCCCAAGGGCGCAAAAUGAGUUUUUCCACCGAAAGGACAAUCAGAAUGGGAUUUAGUUAUUAAUUAUUCAGAGUCGCCACUUGGGAGAUUAAUGGUGUCCCAAGUCACCGAUUGAAUCUCGAACCAAGGAAAAAUAUGACUAUGUUACAGUCCGCGAAUCAGAAAUCCGAGUAAGGAAUUCUGUUAACCCGAGAGAAGGUGUUAGGCAUUCCCGCGUUUCGUAGUUCUAGCACGGUCUCUUAACUGUUACAUUUGAUUUUAUCUAAUUUUAAUACAUGCUAGCUUAUAUGACUUUUAUUCGUAAACCGCUUUUUAUGAUUGUUUAUUAAAAAAGAAUUACGACGUUGUGAAAAUGCGUUUCGAACCACAUCGCAGUCAAUGCACCCGUGGUGGUCAACACAUUUCAAAUUCGUCGAGAUUUGGAUUUGGGUCGCAUCAAUGCGCACCUGAGUUGAAGGAAGUAAUUUAAUUAAAUUGCGCCUAAAGAUUCUAACGUAAUACUAUUUUAGGGGAAGACAGUGAAGUUCGCUAAACGGCCCUCAAAAUUCUAAUCAUUUUUAAUAACCAUUAUUGAGAGCCCCACAUUUAUUUACUUUGUUCGGUGAGGCUCGUCUCAUUUUAUGAACCUUUUUUCGAUCAUUAUUUAUUUUAUAAGAAUUACGACGUCGUGAAAAUGCGUUUCGAACCACGUCGCAAUCAAUGCACCCGUGAUUGUCAACAUAUAUCGACUUUGUCGAGAUUUGGAUUUGGGUCGCAUCAAUGCGCACCCUAGUUUAAGCAAGUAACUUUAUUAGAAUCGCGUCUAAAAGAGUCUAACGCGUUAUUAUCUUUUGGGAGGGUCGUGAAAUUUGCUAAACGAUCCUUCCCUAAUUUUCUAAAUAUUUCAAACCUUUAUUGAGGGCCCCACAUUUUGUGUUUUCUUGGCGAGGCUCGUCUUAUUUUAUUUUAAAGAUCCACUCUAAAGUAAACUAUGAUUUUUCUAAAUUAUUUGUCUCUAAUAAAAGUCCUAAUUAAUCAAUAUUGUUUAAGAGUUACUUUAUUCAGGUCUAUGGACACAUAAAUUCAAAUCCUUAAUCGCGACCCAUAUGAAGAGUCAAUACCCAAUAAUGCAAAAGAGGUAGCCAAACACCAUCCUGGGCUUAGAUCCACUCGGAGGCACAUUUAAAAUGAGAUUUGGGCCGUCUGUGAUAGUGCUGGUCCAAACUAUCCAGAAAUCAAUUCCUUUUGAACAAUCAUCUCUGAGAUCACUCCAGGUUAUUCCAACGUGCUCAACAAUUUGUAGACAAGGAAAAACGAUAUGCCUCGUUCAAUAUAAUGAAACAUUGACACUAAUUAGCUACUGGUGAGUUCAUUUGAUUACUAAAAAUGUGGACCCGAUUUUUUUCAACACAAAGCAGUCUAACUAUUUUUAAGUUAGCUCAAGCUAGAUAGGCUGGAUCUAUUUCACAUUAUUAUUGAACCUCGAAAUCAUGUGAACGUCUGUUUCAACCUUUACUUUUUUUAAUUAAAUCUUCGAAGCGUUAGGCAAUUAUGUAUCAUGACAAUCACAUUCAUACUAUGAAAACGUUACCAAUCAUGUGUUCUACUACUCAUACAAAUCUGAAGCUAUUCACAAAUCGUCUAUUAACCUAUCGUGUGACUAGUUACUACCAAUGUUCAAUUUAUCAGUGAAAUAUAGCAAUUUAUGCAAUCCUGUUCUGCAGUCCAAUCUUACAAGACAAAAAUGCAAAUCUAAUGGAAAGCUAAAUAGGUACAAAUCAUUCUGAUAUCUACGACAUUAUAGUAGCCUGUUUCAGGAAGAACAAUUCACUUCAGAUUUUCAACUCAACAAUUACAGCAGGUUAGUCUCACGUGUGUACCUGGAAAUGCAAAAUGUAAGAAUAGUAAAGAGGAGGUCAGCAGCCACCAAUAUAACAGCAGAUUAGCAGUAGCAAGCAAACUCAGAGAAACAAACCAACAACCCAGGAAAGUUUCCAAGUGCAGUAAUUGAUCAGUUAACUCAGCAAAUUCAUAAGCAAGUUUUAAAAUCCAAAGAUAGAUCAAUCACAACAAUAAAUCCACCACUGAAGCACCCAAGCAGACUCGAACUCGAAUUCAAAAUAUUUUGAAACUCCUAACAGGCCAUCACCCGACCUAAAACCACUUAUCUAGCCCAAACUCACUUGAAAUGAACCAAAUAUCACCUCUGGAACUUCAAAUUAGCAAAAACUAAACUACAGAUAUUUAGAUCAAUAGCUAAAGCUAUCCACCUAGCAUUUGAUGAAACAGUAACGUUUUUUUUGGUUUUCUAUUAUUUUUUGUUGUUUUUGGGGUUUUAAUGUUAAAAAUAAGAACUAGAAGGAGAUUGUGAUAUGAGAUUUUAAAUUUCAGAUCUGGAUACUUGAAGAAUAUUUUUUGGGGGAUUUUGAGGGCUCCAAAACUUCUUUUUCAAGGCAUAGGUGACUUCCUUAUAUAAGCCAACUAAUGGGCAACCCUCAGAUUUUUGUUUUCAUUCUAGUCUCUACUUAGUUUUUGUCACGACCCAAAUUUCCCCACCAUGGGGGUUGUGAUGGCGCCUACUGUCGGAGCUAGGUAAGCCAACCCUUCUAAUCAUUUCACCAGCUUACAAACAAAUAUAUAAAAAUGAGCGAAAGACUUUUAAUAAAACAAUAGCAAAGUGCGGAUGUUUAUAACAUGUCUCUACCCAGUAUCUGGUGUCACUACUCACGGACUACUAAAGGAGUACUAAAAACAACAGUCCGAAAGAAAAUAUACAAGUGUCUAUUUGGAUACAAAUGAACAAAUGGAAAUGAAACCGAUUAUACUCAAGGACCGCGAACGCCAGCGAACUACCUAGGAGUCUCUGGACUGAAGGCGUGCUCCCAAGCUACUGCUGCGGUCCGUAGGCUGUCUCCUGACCUGUGCACAAAAUGGCACAGAGGUGUAGCAUCAGCACAACCGACUCCAUGUGCUGGUAAGUGCUUGGCCUAACCCCGACGAGGUAGUGAUGAGGCUAGACAGGACCUACCACAAGUGACCUGUACAGAUAUAUGCAAUAACAAGAGAAUACACUAUUCUAAACAGUUAAAAGGGAGGGAAACAUGUUGUGGGGUACAACAGUUCAAAUACAGAGAUCAACUAAUAGAAGGAAACUGAGCGGAUAACAACUACCAAAGAAAUACCAGAAAGUUCAACACACAGAGCAAUAUCCACGUUCAUAUUCCCGCUGCGGCGUGCAACCCAAUCCUCAACAUUUAAUACCGUUGCGGCGUGCAUCGGCUAUCCUCGACAAUUAAUCCAUUGCAGCGUGCAACCCGAUCCUCAAAAUCUAGUAUUGUUGCGGAGUGCAACCCGCUCCUCAUUAUUUACCAACAAGACUCACCCAAAAUCAUUCGCAACUCAAGUGCGAGGGGAGUAACAUCAUAAUACCAAGUGUCCAGACAAGGGAAUGCAACUAACAGCCCAAAUAUCCCGACAAGCCCGACAAGGGAGAAUUCAAAAUAUAUUUAAGUCCCGGCAAGGGACAUGAUCACAGAAUUUCCACUCAUAAACAUGUUAUCUACCAACAAGUGCUAAGUCGAGCCAAUGCUCCAAAAUUACACGAAAUCAUUAUGUAUCCUCAACCGUUCAUAUCAUGUGAACCAAAUCAAUUCCAACAAGUAUUUAUGUCAUACCACUCGAAAUAACGCAAUUUAAGACCCACGGUCAUGCUAGACUCGGGUGCAUAGAGAACCGUCACCAUGCCUAUGCACCGACUCCACAUAGCACAUAACAAAUAACAUCCUAAUCCUAUUGCCUCAAGCCAAAGUUAGAUCAACACUUACCUCAAAAGCUCCAAACUCAACUCAUGCCUCUAGGAUAGCUUUGCCCCUCGAAUUCGCUACAAAACCGGUCAAAUCUAAUCACAAUUUGCUCAAAUAUAUCAACAAAUGCUAGUUAAAACAAUUUGAAUACAUAAGAAUGAAUUUCCCAAGGUUAUACCCAAUAAUUCCCAAAAUACCCUCAGUCCCACGUGGUCUAAACCCAAGGUUCGAACCAAAACCGGGUUACGCGUUCCCGCAUGAGUUCAUAUCUAUGAUUUGUUUUGAAAUCGGACCCCAAAUUGAGGUCCAAAUCCCUAAUAUAAAGAAAACCGAGGUUCUAUCCCAAAUCCCCAUUUUUACCCAUUGAAAGCUUUGAUUUAAAGAUGAAAUCAUGAUAAAAGAUGUUAAAGUUAGAAGAAAUUGAGUAAAAGUUGACUUACAAUUGAUUUGAGAGAAGGAGUCGAGAGAAAAUCGCUAAUGGAGGUUUGGGUUUUGAAAUAUGAAAAAUGAGGUUUGAAAUCGUCUAAAUAUAGGAUGCACGGUCGCAGAUGUCGCAAUUGCAAAGUUUUGUUCGCAAUUGCGAAGAAUGCAGAAGGAAUAGCGGAUGUCACAAUUGUGAGAAGAGAAAUUGAGUAAAAAUUGACUUAUAAUUGAUUUGGAAAGAAAGAGUUGAGAGAAAAUCGCCAGUGGAAAUUUGGGUUUUGAAAAUAUGAAAAGUGAGCUUCAAAAUCGGCAAGUGUAAAAUAUACAGGUGCAGAUCUCGAAAUUGCGAGAAUAUGUUCGCAAUUGCGAACUAUGUAGAAGAAAGGGCGGAUAUCGAAUUUGCAAGCAAAUUGUUCGCAAUUGCGAACAAGGCAGGCUGGGUAGACUUCACAUUUGCGAUGGGGAGUCCGCAAUUGCGAACUCUGGGGUUUUUGGUCGGGGAUUGCUUUUGCGAAGAAGUCUUUGCAUUUGUGGAGACUAGGCUGAAGGGGGGAAUAUCGCAUUUGCGAGCUUCUUCUUCUCAUUUGCGAUAAGAGCAGGCCAGGAGGGGAUCUCGUAUUUGCGAGGCUUGCUUCGCAAAUGCGAAGCCUGCAUGUCAGGCGUACCAGCUGUGUUCAACAUGCAGCAAAUUGAACCCGCGACCUAUCAAAAACUCUCCCGAGCCCUCGGGGCUCCAAACCAAACAUGCACAUAACCCCAAAAACAUCCUACGAACUUACUCGUGCGAUCAAAUUUCCAAAAUAACAUCAUUUACAUAGAAUUAGACCUCAAGACACAUGAUUUCUUCCAAAUUUCCAUAUGAUUCUUAAUUCUCAUCUUCAAUUCCGAAACACGUCAAAUGGCGUCUGUUUUCAACCAAACUUUACAGAUAGCCCUUAACGCUUAUUUAAGACCUUUUUCGGGCGUCAGAAUCAAAAUACGAGCCCGAUACCAUCAUUUUCUAACUCAUUUUCAUUUUUCAUAUCAUUUUCGGAUAAAUAAUUUCUUUCAAAAAUUCCCUACUCGUGCCAGGGACCUCGAAUUUCGAUUCCGGGAAUAUGCCCGGGUCCCAUAUAUUUUUACGGACCUUCCGGGACUGUCAUAUCACGGGUCCGGGUCCGGGUCCGUUUACCCAAAAUGUUGACCAAAGUUAACUAUAUCUAUAUUAUUAUCAAAAUUCAUAGUUUUUAACACAAAAUUCAUAUAUUUCCACAUAAAAACUUUCCGGCUUCGCCCCCAGACUGCUCACAUAAAUCGAGACAACAAAAUAAAUGGUUUUCAAGGCCUCGAAAGCGUAAAGAAAGAGAGAAUUACGGUGAUGAACAUUUGGGUCGUCACAGUUUUCAACUUACAUUCCUCAUUUCUAAUGAAAUACACCCUCACACCCGUACCUAGAAGCUUCUAGGAAAUUCUUAGCCAGAUUCCCUUCCCCAAAUUACCCCAAUUGCCCAUAAUUUAUCCCAAAAUUACUAAAAUAGAACAGCUAUAUCCAAAAGAGUCCUAGGGUUUGAAUUUUCAAUUAAGAAAUGUAAUCCUAUCUACUGGGGCCCAUUAACAACAUCAAUCAUUAACUAAAUACAGACUUAACCAAAUAACAUUCAAACAAAUAUUUAAUUAAUAAAAUUACAACUAAAAUUAAGAAUCAUGAUUAACCUAAUGAAUAACUAAUUAAUCACCUAAACUAACAUGAAUAAAAAACACUUGAGAAUUCAUUGACUCACAUUUCAAACGACUUAACAAACUAAAAAAAAAAUAGGACUCAAUUAAAACGACUAAGCAAGAAGACUAUCGAGCAAAACCUUACUGAUAAAAGAAAACUCAGGCCAAUCAUCAUUAUUUCCAAACUCAGCCAUUCCUGGGGUCAUUUCAGCUCUAUUGAUGACCAAGUCUUUACGAGGGAGGCCCAGGGACCCUAUGGAAUCCUAUCUACUUAGUUUUCAACUUACAUCCCUCAUUUCUAAUUAAAUACACCCUCGCACCCGUACCUAGAAGCUGGUAGGAAAUUAUUAGCUAGAUUUCCUUCCCCAAAUUACCCCAAUUGCCCUUAAUUUAUCCUAAAAUUACUAAAAUAGAACAGUUAUAUCCAAAAGAUUCCUAGGGUCUGAAUUUUCAAUUAAGAAAUAUAAUCCUAUCUACUAUGACUAAUUUAUAGCAAAAAUCAUUAACUAAGUACAGACUUAACCAACUAACAUUCAAACAAAUAUUUAAUUAACAGAAUUACAACUAAAAUUAAGAAUCAUGAUUCGAACAACCAAAUUGAAAUAAACCUAAUGAAUAACUAAUUAAUCACCAAAACUAACAUGAAUAAACAACACUUGAAAAUUCACUGACUCACAUUUCAAACGACUUAACAAACUAAAAAAAACAGGACUCAAUUAAAACGACUAAUAAAGAAGACUAUCGAGGAACUAGUAAAGAAAUACAAAAUAAAAGAAAAGGAAAAACUUACUGAUAAAAGAAAACUCAGGCCAGUCAUCAUUGUUUCCAAACUCGGCCAUUCCUGGGGUCAUUUCAGCUCUAUUGAUGGCCAAGUCUUUACUAGGGAGGCCCAGGGACCCUAUGGCGUCAAGUGCAUGCGUUUUGCGCAUUUUAGGGUUUUCGCCGGAAAACUAAAAAUUGACAUUUGAGCAUUUCCGGCCACAUUCGAGGGACGAGGAUAAGAGGGUUGGGUAGAGCGGCCUCAGGCAAACCUAGGGUGUUAAUUUGGG
This 33158-nucleotide long non-coding RNA is filed under the name Nicotiana benthamiana. RNAcentral's name for it is "long non-coding RNA (NBEN_LNC019557)". The record is from RNAcentral. Lineage: Eukaryota; Viridiplantae; Streptophyta; Magnoliopsida; Solanales; Solanaceae.